CCUACGGGUGGCUGCAGUGGGGAAUAUUGCACAAUGGGCGCAAGCCUGAUGCAGCCAUGCCGCGUGUGUGAAGAAGGCCUUCGGGUUGUAAAGCACUUUCAGCGGGGAGGAAGGCGUUAAGGUUAAUAACCUUGGCGAUUGACGUUACCCGCAGAAGAAGCACCGGCUAACUCCGUGCCAGCAGCCGCGGUAAUACGGAGGGUGCAAGCGUUAAUCGGAAUUACUGGGCGUAAAGCGCACGCAGGCGGUCUGUCAAGUCGGAUGUGAAAUCCCCGGGCUCAACCUGGGAACUGCAUUCGAAACUGGCAGGCUGAGUCUUGUAGAGGGGGGUAGAAUUCCAGGUGUAGCGGUGAAAUGCGUAGAGAUCUGGAGGAAUACCGGUGGCGAAGGCGGCCCCCUGGACAAAGACUGACGCUCAGGUGCGAAAGCGUGGGGAACAAACAGGAUUAGAUACCCCUGUAGUC
RNAcentral lists this ribosomal RNA (464 nucleotides) under uncultured Klebsiella sp. Its description in RNAcentral is "bacterial SSU rRNA". It matches the Rfam family "Bacterial small subunit ribosomal RNA", at positions 338 to 795 of the family's 1533-position model. The record is from RNAcentral. Lineage: Bacteria; Pseudomonadati; Pseudomonadota; Gammaproteobacteria; Enterobacterales; Enterobacteriaceae.